This 510-nucleotide ribosomal RNA is filed under the name uncultured Fibrobacter sp. Its description in RNAcentral is "bacterial SSU rRNA". It matches the Rfam family "Bacterial small subunit ribosomal RNA", at positions 163 to 675 of the family's 1533-position model. The record is from RNAcentral. Lineage: Bacteria; Pseudomonadati; Fibrobacterota; Fibrobacteria; Fibrobacterales; Fibrobacteraceae.
CUAAUGCCGGGUAUUGUGCCCUACUGCAUAGUAGGUUAACGAAAGAUUUAUCGUUGUGGGAUGAGCUUGCGUCCGAUUAGCUAGUUGGCGGGGUAAUAGCCCACCAAGGCGACGAUCGGUAGCCGGCCUGAGAGGGUGAUCGGCCACAUUGGGACUGAGAUACGGCCCAGACUCCUACGGGAGGCAGCAGUAGGGAAUAUUGCGCAAUGGGGGGAACCCUGACGCAGCAACGCCACGUGUGGGAAGAAGCAUUUCGGUGUGUAUACCACUGUCGUAAAGGAAUAACGGAAGACUUCGGUCUUUAUGAAUGUACUUUUAGAGGAAGCACCGGCAAACUUCGUGCCAGCAGCCGCGGUAAUACGAGGGGUGCAAGCGUUGUUCGGAAUCACUGGGCGUAAAGGGAGCGUANGCGGAAGUGCAAGCAAUCUGUAUAAUCCUGGGGCCCAACCCCAGUUCUGCAGAUUGGACUGUAUUUCUUGUAUAGUUCAGAGGCAAGCGGAAUUUCUGGUG